Elaeis guineensis (African oil palm) is the source of this 9337-nucleotide non-coding RNA. The record is from RefSeq and is a predicted model, not a curated record. NCBI's taxonomy places the organism in Eukaryota, Viridiplantae, Streptophyta, Magnoliopsida, Arecales, Arecaceae.
UCUCUCUCUCUCUCUCUCUCUAUUGGUGUUUCAUUGCUUUUCUUUCCGUCAAAGGUCUUUUGUGUUUGCCGAGGAUAUCCCUGAUCUCGAAUUUGUACGUGGAUACUCGCAAACUUCAAUAAUUCCUUUUUUUGUGUCGAGGGAACCGUGUCGUUCUUAUCAUCAUCUAUAUGCUGUUUUCUUUUUGUUUCCUUUUUCUUUAGUAGUUUUUAGAUAUCAUAGACCCGUGCGUAUCUUUCUGACGUUGUUCUUUGUUCUGAUUCCCUUGCUGUGGUGUGUGUUGGAUUCUGGACGAGGAUGUAUCUGGCUUCAUUGAUAUUUGCCCCCAUUUGGACAAAUAUAUUUAUGUUGUUUUAUUGUGUCUUCUGAUCAUAUUUAGAUUUUAUUUUUCCUGCUUCAAAUAUUUUUGGACUUUUCCGGUUAUUGUAUCUUCAUCUACUCAUGUCUUGGAAGAAAGAUAGAUUUUGUUUCUGGAGUGAAAAUGUAUGCGGAAAAAAAGAAACGUUUAUGGUUUUACUAAAUGUUCUGGUAGUUAUUGUUACAUUAUUUUGAUAAAUAUUUCUUAGCUUCUGAACUGAUUUUGCUUCUCUGAUUUUUAGAUCUAAUAUUUAUUUUUAGAAAAUGACCCUUCACAUUUUUCAAUUUUUAUUUAGUAGAUAUCGAAUGGUAAUUUAUGUACGACCAAAUUAUUAGUCAUCCUGACAGGAUGUUAUUGAAUUAGGAAGAAAAAUAACAAUAUAUGAGGUGCAAACAAAUUAUAGAUAAAUAGUUUUCGCUAAAACUAAUUUGAAUAGUUGGAUCGGGUUUUCUUCUUCAAAGAGAUUAUGUGUGGAUUUAUAUUAUAGUUAAAAUUUGCUGACAUUUUAAUUAAUAUUUGAUGUCAAAAAGUAUAUAAAUCUGUCUGGAUUGAUUAAUGAUAUUUGGAGGUUGUGAGUUAUUUUAAUAAAUUUAUAACUUGUGGUGGGGGAGUUUUUGCAAUGUUUGGACUGGUGCUGGUGUAUUGUGUGCCUUAUAUAUGAGAGAGGAAAAAUAAAGGAGGUAGAUGUGGCAGUCUAUGAAAAAUAAAAAAAAUUGUGAAGAGGUAUCAUUAACUUCUUCAUUUCUUUGUUCUUUGUGGGUUCAGCAAAUGUAAUCAGUUAUGUAUGUAAGCUCAGAAGAUACUUGGUUGAUCAUAUAUAGCUAUAUAGCCUGAUGCAUAUGAGGUUGAUUUUGCCACUUUGGAUGCAGGCAUCUUGAUGGCUAUCUCUUUGUCUUCCCAAUCUAUUUUACUACAUUAACUUUGCCAUAAAUUGGAUAGUUCCUAUUAUCGUGACUGUAAAAUUUACAUGGGUAUCUCAUGUCUUUCAUUAAGUCAAAAGGAUAUUCUUUUCCUUCUUUUUUUUUUUAACAUUGGCCUCUUGUAAAAUGAAAUGCCUCAUUGCAUCACCAUUCUCAUUAUUUGUUUGUGUAAUAUAUACAUUUUUUGAGAAGUGUAGGAAAUGAUCUUCCUAAAUACUAUAAAGUAUGAAUAAUUUCUCUCUAGAAGCAACAAUAGCCACUAAAUUUAAUUGAGGAAUCCGGACCAUUAAUAACCAUAUUCAUCAUAUUAUAUAAAUCGUCCACCUUAUCGUGCAGCAAAGUAACACUAGAUGUUGACUUUCUUACCGAUUUCAAGGGAGUCCAAAUCCCAUGUGAACCAACUUGGUUCUCGCUUUUUGAUAGGAUGCGUGUUCUGAGACUUAGUAACAAAUAAGAUCCAAACCUGACUCCUUUAUGUCUUCAUCUUGUGUCAUCUCAUCCUUGAGACAUGAUUAUUAAUGGUAAUUCCUUAAUCCAUAUCUGUUAUUUAUUUUCUUCUCCAACACUUCGUGAUCCCUACCAUUUUCCUCACUGUCUUGAGAAUCUGUAUCGUGCUCUAAUGUUAGCAACCAUGGCCCCGCUAUCUACCCCAUUCCUAUGGUCUGAUUGGAUUCUUAAAUGAGAACCUAGCAAUGGUGUUUGCUAAAAAGGGGUCCCAUUUAAUCAUUGAUGGAGGAACUUUAAGAAUAUGCUCAUAGAAAGAAUAGGUACAAGAAGAAGUUCAAGGAAUUUGGAGCUAGUUAAAGUGAUGAUGUUAUUAAAAGAAUAUGAAGCUUGUGAAUUUAUUUUAUUUACACUUUUUUCCUUUUAUUUUGGUGUUGCAGAACUCAAAUGGUGAUAGGCUAAUUGUAAAAUGAAAACAACCUUGAUUCAAGUUAUUGUUAUAUAUUUAAAGUUUUAGAAUUUCAUAAUUACUCUCACAAUAAUUAAGUUGUACGUGAAACAAAUGCUAGCUUACAUGAAUUGAAUAUCGGUAUAUCCAUAUCCAUUUUUGUACUAUUUGAUGAAUAUAAAUAUGGAUGUUUGUUGGAUUUGUCUUAAAUGGAUAUAGAUAUUGUUGUUGUUGGCGGCCAACCUGACAUUGGAGCAGGUGGGUUUAAAGUAGUUGGAGUCUGGCAUUGUACUAGAUGAAGGUGAAUCUGCAAAUCAAGUCCUUUGUCGUAGUUGUUUCUAGUAAGGACUCUCUGGUGCUCAAGUCAGUCACUGAAAAUUACUGGAAAUGAGAGAUAAUGGGACGUGAAAGCUUAUCUGAGGGUCUCCAAUUCCCUCUAUUUAUAGGUGGGGUAGUUGGCCAUCUUUGGUAAAAAAAGGGCAGUAGUGAUUGAGAGAAUUACGUUGCUUCUGUCUUAUUCGAUCGAGGUGAGCUAUUGCCUAUUGGAUUUGGUGCAUAUUUGGAAUGUGGAUUGAAUAUGAUAACUAUCCGAUGCAUAACAGCCGUUGGGAAUCUCGGUCUGAUGCCUCAGCUCGAAAGGCACCGAGGCGAGUAGGUCAGUUAUUAAUCGAGCUUAAGUGAACAUUGGUCCAACCAAGAUAAGCUGUCAUUCCGUAUCAGAUGCUCCCCACUCUAGAGUUCGAGCUAAAGGUAGCCCGGGUGAAAAGAGCAAGAGUUUGUCCACCUCUUUGGCUAUCACCUUUUGUCGCUCGGGAAGCUUCUUUUCUAAUGUUUAACAGGUCUGUAGCUCGGGUUGACGCCUAGCCAAUGCGUCAUCACAUUCGGAUCGAUGCCUGGUAUAUCUGUUGGAGCCUAGGCGAAUACAUCUGUAUUUUUCUACAAAAAGAGAUGAAACGUCGUUUGGUUAUCAUAUCGAGUUUUGACAUGAUCUGGAUGGCAUGCUCCUGAUUGCUGUCAUUCAAUGGGAUCCUGUCCACGUCCUCAAUCGGCUUUCCUCAUUCUUCGGAUAGUUUGUCUCGUGUGUCUAGUCUGUCCAUCGAGUAAGCCUCGGAAGGUCCUGCAUCAUGAAGUGCGAUAUUGUAGCAUUAUCGCGCUAAGGCCUGAUCUCCACGGACUUCGGCAACUUCAAAUUCUAUGAGAAACUUUAUUUUCAGAUGAUAGGCAGAUACUACUGCUCGGAGUGUGUUAAGUUCUGGAUGUCUGAGGAUGGCAUUGUAGGUCUAAAGUGCUCGGAUCUUGGAUCGGCGAGGUGAUCGUCCGGCCACAAUAGGGAGAGUUAUAACCGCUUCAACUAUUAUAUCAUCCUCAGUAAAUCCUAUUAGAGGGGUAUCUAGUCGGUUUAGCCGUUCUUGGGGUAUGCCCAUUUAAGAGAGCGUCGUAAAAUAAAACAUCCGUUAACUUCCAUUAUCAUUAAGGAUGCGACGUAUAUCAUAUAGUUUUCGAUAUUCAAAGUUACAAUCAUUGCGUCGUUACGUGGGAAUUGAACCCUUUGGGCAUCUUCUUCAGUAAAAAUAAGGGAUUCUUCAGUCCUCGGCUUAUUGGAAGGUUCAACUGACUCCACUCUACUUUGAUGUCCUUCAAUUAUUGCAUUUAUCACUCCCGUAGAAGGUCGAUCUUUAGAUGGUUCCCUCUGUCGUUGUUCCAACAGGUUGGGUGAUCUCCGUCGUUCCUCUUGCCGUUCCUAUCGAUGCUUGAUAAGUCGAUCCAAGUGCCCAUGCCGAAUGAACUCUUCCAUCUCAUGUUGAAGCUAAAUACAAUUUUCAAUGUUGUGGUCAUGGUCGCGGUGAUAUAGGCAUACUUGUGGUUCUGUCGGUUUGAAUUAGACCGCAACCUCCCCGCCUUUGGAAUUCGAUCUUUGAUCUCUAUUAGUACUUAAGCUCGGAUGGUGUCCCAAGGGGGUGUAGUUUGUAAAUCUCCUAGGUGGAGACACGUCGCUUCCUUCUGAAAUUGUCCCUUCGUCGGGGGUUCCGUGGGGGAGUUUGGGACCUCUGACAUCUAGGUGGAGAGUGGGAGUGCCGUCGAUCCUUCGGUGGAGAUUUCGAUUUUUCUUUCUUCCUUUCUUCUACCAUGUUCAUUGGGGGCUCAUCUUCGAACGCCUCGUCUGCCCUGACGUACUUCUCCAUUCGGGCUAACAUAUCGGCGAAGUCACGGGGGUGGAUCUUGUUCAGGAAGUAUCGAAGAUCAUUCUUCAGUAAUCCGUCCUUCACGAUGGCUAUUGCGAUCGACUGAUCCAGAUCGCGGACUUUUAAUACGGCUGCAUUGAAACGAUCGAGGUAUUAUCGGACGGACUCCCCUUCUCUCUGUUUCAUAUUCAUCAGGGAGUCCGAUCCUUUCUACUGUCUCUUAUUGCUCACAAAAUGGCCCACGAACAGUCGGCUCAUCUGAUUGAAAGAAUGGACAUUUGUGGCUUUAAGCUAGUGUACCAAUGUCAGGCUAUAUCCUUCAGGAUUGACGGAAAGAUUUGAUAGAGGGCGGCAUCGGUUUCCUCAUGAAUGAGCAUCAGGGAUUUGAAGCUUUUUAGGUGAUCUACUGGAUCGGUGAUCCCAUGAUAGCUCUCUAAGUGCGACAUUUUGAAAUUUUUGGAGAGCGGUUCUUGCAUAAUCUGAUCGCUAAAUGGCGGGUUGGUUUAUACCUGUCAUCGCGCACCUGUGUUUGAUGGUGGAUUGCUUCGAUCCUCUCGUUCAUCUUUCGAAGUUUGCAGUCGAUUCCGCAUCUCGGGCGGUGCAGUUUUUCGAACAUUGUAGGGGGGGUCGUCGACUAGGCAUUGAAUCUUGCCUAGAACGAGGACUUGGCGACUGUUGUCUUCUGUGUUCUGGACUCCGGGGUCGACUGUGAUGGGUUUGUCUCCCCCACUCAGGACUCUAUGGAGGGACUGGCGGUCGUCCCUGCGGUGUUGUUGUAGGUUGCUGCAGGGGAAUUGCCGAUUGUGGAUCUACCACUGGUACUACAUUGGUUGGUGGGGGUGUUGUUGUAGCUACUAUUGUUGGUGCAGCAUUGAUUGGUUGUAAUAGUGCUAUUGUCGGUGGUACAGCGUGGAGUGCUGCAUCGCUUGAACGGUGGUGGUCAGAGUCUGUACUUGUUGGAACAGUAGGUGGAGUUGUUCCGUGCUGAUGAUCACCACCUGUUGGGAGGGCGGUUGCGAAACUUUUCGACGGCGGCUGUGUCAAAGCCUGCUGGUCGAUUGCAUUCUUCGCUAACUGGGAGGAUGCAGCGAUGUUAAAUCGAUGGGAGGAAGCUUGGCGCGGUGCCAUAAUCUCGAUCUUGUGCUCCUCACACUUGGAUCAGAUUUUUUUUUUUCUAACGUCAAUCUGUUGCUAUUGAAAUCCGGAUCACGGUCGGAGAGGUUGGACCGAUGGCGUGUCCAUCCGGAAGAGAAAUCUGCAAGUAAGUCUUGGUCGGAGUUGGCUCUAGCGGAGACCCUCCGAUGCUCAAGUCAGAUAGCAGUGAAAAUAGGUGAGGAGUGUAAAGAGAUUAUCCCCAAGUACUUUGGGGAGUCCCUUGGAUGUCUUUUUGUAGAUGAAAGUUGAAGAAUCGUUUUAGAAAAGUUACGUGGCCGAUUUAGGCACGAUGUGGCGAGAUUUUUGAUCGGAAUUUCUGAGAAGGUUAUUACACCUGCCGUAUCCGUUUCGAAGCCAGUUAAAUGUCAUGGGCACUUUUGAAUUUUGAAAUAAGGGCGCUGGUGGGAUUGGACCAAUUCCACUAGUAGAAGCUUCAGCGUGAUCCGAUGGAGACUUGUGCUAAAGGGAAGAAGGAAUUGGAGCCAAAGAUCGGUGAGAGCUAAAAUACAUUUAUGGCCGAAGUCGAAGAUCGACCAAAUUAGGGGUUUGGUUGUCUACAGAUGCCGGAUAGAUGUUGGAUGUCGGCUGUCAUAGGGAUUGAGAUAGGGUUGAGGCCGAAGUCAUAAUCGGCUGGUCCUGAGCAUUGUGCUUAGGGGGAUCACUAGAAGUUAAAGAUCGUCAGGAGCUGAAGCCAGAAUCAGGCUAUAUCAUUUGCCCUUUUGUUAGUCCAUGUCUUCGGCCCAAGCAGUAAAUAUCUCCCAACAGUAACGAAAGCUAGCAUUUGUUUCAUGUACAACUAAAUUAUUGUGAGAGUAAUUAUGGAAGAGCUAAAACUUCAAAUGUUUAACAAUAAUUUGAAUCAAGGUUGUUAUCAUUCUACAAUUAGCCUGUCACCACUUGAGUUCUCCAAAGUUAAUUCAUUUUGCAUAUUCAAUUUUCUUUUCAUAUGUUGAGCCUGUCAAGGUCUUAUAUAUGGUAGUCCUUUGCAACAAAAUCUUGUUAGUUAAGCAUUGCAUGUGAAUUGUUAAUAUAUUUUGGAGAAUUAUGUUUAGCACCAUUAUUAUAUGGUGAAGCACUUCUACAAAUAAUGAUUUGUGUUGCCGCCAUAAUUUUGUCCGGUGUUUUGGAGACAAGGAUGGUGCUGAUUGAUCUGCUGCAGUGGAAGACGAAGCGCUGAUCUACGUGUGAAAAUGAGAGCAAAGGAGAUCGCCAUACUGAUUCGAUCGGGGGCCUCUGAUGCUUAAGUUAGAUAGGAGUUUGGGGAAUAGGAUAUGUACGAAGACAGAAGAAGGGGAAGUGGAGAGCUUUUAGCUUCUUUGUCAUACUUGGGGCCUUGAGCCCUUUUUAUAGGUGAAGAGUCCGUGUACCACCAGAGUUGGACUCUAAAAUUUGGAGUCCAGUCAGGAGCUGAUUCUUGGUUUUUCUUAUUUAUAUCGGCCUGCCCAAGAAGAUAAGUUCAAUCGAAACUGAUCACGUGCUAUGCCAUGUGUCGGCCUAUGAUUAGUUGUUCUGAUUUUGGCCACGUCACAUUCCCCUCGCUUUUGAGUUCGAGGCAUUUUUCUUGACUCCAGCUAAGGAAGUUGCCAGAUUAGCUAAUAGUAAGCCUACCAAGAUUCACCUCAACUUGCCCAUUUCCUUAGGUUGCAGGUCAUCCAUCACAUUUGGGGGAAUUUGCGUGCGCGCCUGAAAGUUUGGUGGGCAAUUUCAAUGGACCUUUUGAAAUCCGAAAAGGUCUGUCAGUUGGUAUACCCAAGGUGAUAUGCGAUGGUUUGAUCCGUGCAACCGCUUUGUGGUUAAUAGCAGUGUGACACAUGUCAGCUUGUUUGGUCAGAAAUUCGAUUGGAUGCAACUCUUCAGGCUGAUUCGAGCCGUUGAGAGCUCUAUAUGAGGUAGGCAUUAGUGCUUUUUCCCCACUCAUAGAAUUCUGAAGUCUCGCUUAGGUUGUCCUGCCCAAGCAUCCCUUCCUCAACUCGGUCUUUAUCUUUCAGCGCUUAGGCCAUCAAGUAGGUACUUCCUUCUCCCGUCCUUUGUCAAUUCCUUAUAGGUCAUAGGAGUCACUCAUAAUAAGUAGCUCGCCCAUUAGUUGGUUGUCCAGCUCUAGUUCUAGGUCGGGUUCCUCAGGUUCAUCCUCUUCGAAUUUUGAGGCAGUCCAAUCGGUCAUCCCAUUUAGUCUUAGUGUCGAGGAAAGAACCUUAGAUUGAGCUGAUUUAAAUAGGAUUAGGAGGUCAUACUUCAUUCCUCCUAGCAUCUACCUUAGGCUAUUUGAGGCCGACGAGAGAGCCUCUAGUCAUCUGCCUGCUCAGCUCUACCCAUACAAGGAUACUCCGGUGGUAGGGCUAAGAUUCCCUCUUCACCUCUUUAUCGGCCAAAUCUUAGAUCAGUACCAACUAGUACCAAUCCAACUAGUCCCCAACUCUUGCAGGAUUAUAAUUGGGUUUUUGUCUUUUUCUGCUUUGCAUGGUGUUCAACCCACUGUUCAGCUCUUUAGGGCUCUUUACAUCCUGAAGGAGCAUCCCUUCGAGCAUGUUGGUGGCAUUGCUCAACUUGAAAGGGAUGUCAGCUGAUAAAGGCUGGUCCUUCCUCUGGUCCAUCACUAGAAGGGUCGCUAUUUCUUUGUGUUGUUUGAGCAGCUUUCGGGCUUCAGCAUGAUCUGGAGACCGCUCAAGAAAUCUUUGAAUUGGCCUCUAGCCUAACCAAGGAGCAGAAGGCACUUGAUGGUCUGUGCUGAGUGGAGGUUCCCUCUGUGCAGCAACUUCUAGUGGAGCAUAUGCCAGUGAAUGUCGGUUUGUGUCCGGCCAAACUUAAGGGUCGUUAUGUCAGGUUUGAAGAAGGCCGUCAAAAGAAAGAUGGCCAGAUAGAGUAGUAGGAUGGUCUUCUUACAAAGAGGAGCCACCUAGCUCCAAUCUCACACAAGGUUUAAGUUAAACUCAAAGUUCCUCAGGUUGAGCACCAACUUGAGGUAGAGAUUUUAUCUUCUCUCACUUAGACCAAUACUCAAAGGAUUGAGAUAUGUUCCAGAGUGGUCGGUCAAAGUCACUGACAAUGGGAUGAAGGAUGCCCAGACUGCUCAGGAGCUUGCUUAUGGGACCUUGCUCCUAAGUGACUAGGUUGACUUGUCCCAAUAUCCGACUAAGACCUGAUUUUACUCGGCCUUCAAAGCAGUCGUGAAGGUAAUCUGAUCUCUAAUAGUCAUGGAAUUUCGUGCUUAGCUCAUUCUAAUCUAGUUUUAUGUUGCUUGCAAAACUUCGGUCUAUGGGCAUUCGUGGCUGAGUACCAAAGGAUGCUUAGCCUAGAUGUUGAUCAACUGUAGCUGGCGAACACCGAGUUGCACAAGGAGAUAGUUGACUAGAAGAUUGUGGCACUUGAGGUCGAGCUCCAUGCUGCUGAGAGUUGGCUGCACAUGGCCGACCAAAGGGCUGCUGUAACUGAGUAGAGGGUUGUGGAGGCCGAAGGGGGAGCGUCGGGUUGGUAGAAGAAUACAAGGCCUCAGGAGGCUUAAAGGAAGAGUUGAACUCAUAUGCCAUGAACUCGUAGUAAACAAGGUUCAAGGACUGCAAAGAAUAGAGCGAGACUCUCUUUGCUGAGGCUGAUCUAAGCAGCCUUGACCCAUGCGCCGAAUGGGACGUAGAGGAUGACAUUGAGGUGCAUAGAUGCAGCGACAGUGAUGUAGAGGUGCCUUCUUUGGUUGAGUAGGAGGCUUUCUUUUUGUUGUUUCUUUUUGUACUUUUCUUCUUUCUUUUGUACUUCAGCAUAAUUGGCUUUUUAGCCAACCCUUUGUACUUAAACUCUUUUUUGGUAAUGAAAUGCUACUUUUCUUUUAGCACUCAAA